UGCAACAGGCCUUGUUGUACUGUAGGCUCACCACCAGCUUCACGCAAGAACAUGUGCUGGAAGUCCGCUGUUACAGAAUUGCCGUGUUGGUAGAUAUUGCGUGCAUUGUAUACUUAUCCGCCUUUAAAAUUCGUCUACGGGAUAGUUUCCGCGUGUCGGGAAGUUCUGCUGCUUUGAUCGAGUGGCGGACGAUGACUCGCCGUACGUGUCCGCUCCAAAUAGCCACAUCGGACGCGCGCCUUGUGUUCGCUCUGAAAAGUGAUUUCUUCCUCCAUUUAUCGAUUACUCGUGUUGUUCGCGCGAUUCAAUGUCGAGUGUACUUCCGAGGACAGUCCACGACCCCUGCUGUGACAACAAGUGACUGAUGUUAUGCGAGAACGUGAGCUUUUUGACGGGCGACUGAAGAGUGCUCAGCCAAUGUCAAAACUUCGGAAGUGGUGGCCCGGGCGGCUUGUUGGCACAGCGAGGAUGACGAACCAGAGACCCGAUAGGCAGCGAUGACAGCUGUUCAUGGUCCCGAAACAGAGGACAGGUUCCAGUGCACGAUUGGAGCGGUCUUCCUGCAAGCCCUAUUGAGCCUUAUUAAGUGGUUUUAAAUACAGCAGUGGUGCCACCACAAUGGUGCUACAAGAGACCCUAUCAUCAGUGCAAAGUCCAAAAUCAAAUAGAAAUGCAGUUAUUCCUGGAAAUGUCUCAUUUGGUGUUUCUUUGUUUGUAAUUAUAAAACAGCACUUUUGCAAGAAUUGUAAACAA
This 753-nucleotide long non-coding RNA is filed under the name Rhipicephalus microplus (southern cattle tick). Its description in RNAcentral is "uncharacterized LOC119161326". Lineage: Eukaryota; Metazoa; Arthropoda; Arachnida; Ixodida; Ixodidae. The record is from RNAcentral.